CACUGACUCCUGACAUGUAUGUCAGAACUGGAACUUGUGUAACAGGAACCAAAUCUUCAGUCAAACAUUUUCAGUCUUACAGAUAAUUACCAUGUAUUGAAUGAUUAUCCUGAAUGAAGUGU
Haliotis rubra (blacklip abalone) is the source of this 122-nucleotide long non-coding RNA. RefSeq lists it as uncharacterized. The record is from RefSeq and is a predicted model, not a curated record. The transcript is spliced from 3 exons. NCBI's taxonomy places the organism in Eukaryota, Metazoa, Mollusca, Gastropoda, Lepetellida, Haliotidae.